UNUGACUUGAGUGCAGAAGGGGAGAGUGGAAUUNCAUGUGUAGCGGUGAAAUGCGUAGAUAUAUGGAGGAACACCAGUGGCGAAAGCGGCUCUCUGGUCUGUCACUGACGCUGAGGCUCGAAAGCGUGGGUAGCGAACAGGAUUAGAUACCCUGGUAGUNCACGCCGUAAACGAUGAGUGCUAGGUGUUAGGCCCUUUCCGGGGCUUAGUGCCGGAGCUAACGCAAUAAGCACUCCGCCUGGGGAGUACGACCGCAAGGUUGAAACUCAAAGGAAUUGACGGGGGCCCGCACAAGCGGUGGAGCAUGUGGUUUAAUUCGAAGCAACGCGAAGAACCUUACCAGGUCUUGACAUCCCGAUGCUAUUCUUAGAGAUAGGAAGUUACUUCGGUACAUCGGAGACAGGUGGUGCAUGGUUGUCGUCAGCUCGUGUCGUGAGAUGUUGGGUUAAGUCCCGCAACGAGCGCAACCCUUAUUGUUAGUUGCCAUCAUUAAGUUGGGCACUCUAGCGAGACUGCCGGUAAUAAACCGGAGGAAGGUGGGGAUGACGUCAAAUCAUCAUGCCCCUUAUGACCUGGGCUACACACGUGCUACAAUGGUCGGUACAACGAGUUGCGAGCCGGUGACGGCAAGCUAAUCUCUGAAAGCCGAUCUCAGUUCGGAUUGGAGGCUGCAACUCGCCUCCAUGAAGUCGGAAUCGCUAGUAAUCGCGGAUCAGCACGCCGCGGUGAAUACGUUCCCGGGCCUUGUACACACCGCCCGUCACACCACGAGAGUUUGUAACACCCGAAGUCGGUGAGGUAACCUUUUAGGGNCCA
Molecule: ribosomal RNA, 816 nt
Filed under: uncultured bacterium
Lineage: Bacteria
Description: bacterial SSU rRNA
Rfam family: Bacterial small subunit ribosomal RNA
Source: RNAcentral